GAUGAAGAACGUAGCGAAAUGCGAUAAGUAAUGUGAAUUGCAGAAUUCAGUGAAUCAUCGAAUCUUUGAACGCACAUUGCGCCCCUUGGUAUUCCGAGGGGCAUGCCUGUUCGAGCGUCAUUAUAACCCCUCAAGCUCAGCUUGGUGUUGGGGCCUGCUGCACUGGCAGCCCUUAAAAUCAGUGGCGGCGCCAUCUGGCUCUAAGCGUAGUAAUUCUUCUCGCUAUGGAGUCCUGGUGGAUGCUUGCCAUCAACCCCCAAUUUUUCUAUGGUUGACCUCGGAUCAGGUAGGGAUACCCGCUGAACUUAAGCAAUCAAUAAGCGGAGGA
Molecule: unclassified non-coding RNA, 328 nt
Filed under: soil metagenome
Description: partial contains 5.8S ribosomal RNA, internal transcribed spacer 2, and large subunit ribosomal RNA
Rfam family: 5.8S ribosomal RNA (bases 1-120)
Source: RNAcentral